Carassius auratus (goldfish) is the source of this 1226-nucleotide long non-coding RNA. RefSeq lists it as uncharacterized. The transcript is spliced from 3 exons. Lineage: Eukaryota; Metazoa; Chordata; Actinopteri; Cypriniformes; Cyprinidae. The record is from RefSeq and is a predicted model, not a curated record.
AGCGGGAAGAAGCACUUCUGAAACACACGUCCAGGCAUUUUGCUUCUGUUUUUUCGACUUAAAAGCUCAAAAAUAUCAAGAAGCUGGAUUUAAAUGAUCAAAUAGUUUGUAGACGAAAUGUAAAGAAUGGAGAGCGGGAAGCAGACGACCAUGGCUUUGUCGACGAUGUCGUCAGAAGAACUCCUAUUAAAAUUAACAGAGGCCGGACUCGAAUUCUCAGAGGAAGAAAACAGAAAAUUCAAAGAUUUUGAAGUUGAUGGGGAAACUGUCAGUGCUGGUCUCACGGAUCACAUGAUAGCACAACUUUUUGGGAAGUCUUUUAAGAAGCAAGUUAAAUUUAUCAAACUUAUCCAACAACUUGAAGAGAACCAGAGUGAAGAACUGUCUGAAAGUCUGACUACACCUUCAGCUUUGAGGCAAGUAUUAGUAUUGUUUUAUUUAUGUUCCCUUAUAUUUUCUUCUGAUUUACUGAUUUUCUUUAAGUCCUUAAAUUUUGUAUUAAUUUUUUUGCCAGAAUGACAUUGAUGUCAGUCUUGAUAAAGCACAGUAAAACUGCACUUCAAAGUCUGAAAGAUUUCACAGAAGUAACUUUAUUAGAAGUCUAUUAACCCAAAACUCUGAUGCUUCAAAACUUCAAUAAAGAGAUGGUAAAAUAAGUCCAAAUGAAUUAAGUCGGUUAAUUAAUUUGUUUAUUUAAAAUCUGGCCAUCAUUUAAUGUUACAAAAAGUGCAUAAUGCUGCUAAUUGUUGUUGGUUUCGACAUAUAACUCUGAAGUGAUUUCAGUAUAUGUGAGUACUUUUUGAACAUUCCAGAACAUUUUAUCAAUCACUUGUAAUUAUCGAAUUAAUUACAAUUACAAUUAUCGACACUUGUAAUUUAAUUGAUGGCUCAAUCGGACUAAAAAACCUUAAUGUAAACACCUUAAUCGAUCUGAUUUAGCUUGAAAUCUUAUUGAAAAUACAAUUUGAAUAUUGUACGUCUUUAUACAGGCUAUAAGCUGCCUGGGGGGCGGGAUGUUAAAUCACUAAUUCGAGAGUAAAACGUUCACAUUUUUUAAAUAAGAAAUUAAUAAUUAUUUUUUAAAAAGUAAUUUUCGGCCAAGUGCAUCUAGAAGUUUUGGCCCUGAAUUUAUUCGGUGCAUCCCUGAAAGUAAGAUGAUAUAAAAACUAUUCUGGCUUAAGUGUAGAUAGACAGUUGUAACUAGUCAUUGGGAACAUUAAUUUAAU